RNAcentral lists this ribosomal RNA (325 nucleotides) under uncultured bacterium. Its description in RNAcentral is "bacterial SSU rRNA". It matches the Rfam family "Bacterial small subunit ribosomal RNA", at positions 28 to 353 of the family's 1533-position model. The record is from RNAcentral.
GACGAACGCUGGCGGCGUGCUUAACACAUGCAAGUCGAGCGGUAAGGCCCUUUCGGGGGUACACGAGCGGCGAACGGGUGAGUAACACGUGGGUGACCUGCCCUCAGCUCUGGGAUAAGCCUGGGAAACUGGGUCUAAUACUGGAUAUGACUCCACGGUGCAUGUCGGUGGGGUGGAAAGCCUUGUGCGGCUGAGGAUGGGCCCGCGGCCUAUCAGCUUGUUGGUGGGGNGAUGGCCUACCAAGGCGACGACGGGUAGCCGGCCUGAGAGGGCGACCGGCCACACUGGGACUGAGACACGGCCCAGACUCCUACGGGAGGCAGCA